AUACUAUUUUACUUCACAAAACAUAUUGAGGAUUUUUUUGAUGUAUUAGACACCCCCUUUAAUAUACGUAAACAACAUGCAUGCUAAAAUACCUGCAUAUUUAAAAGCAUGUAGAUACUCUUAAGACACGCAGUCUGCGAUCACCCUUACAAACACAAUGGCACUCACUCUACCACUUAUAAUCUUUUCGAUCGCUUGAUUUUCUUAUUAUGGCUCAUUCAUUCCUAAUCAUGGGACGUAUUUACACCUAGUUACCCGGUUGCUAGGGACGCCUUAAACAGAGCAAGAUGGCUGCCAAACAUCAAAGGAUCAGUCAGCACUACAGUGGACAAGUGAAAAAUCUUGCCCGAGACGGGUUUGGUGUGUAUGUGUAUCCAAAUGGCUUCUUUCGCUAUGAAGGCGAAUGGAAGAUGGGAAAGAAACACGGGCAUGGAAAACUUUUUAUGAAGGAUGGCAGUUUCUAUGAGGGUGAAUUUGCCAAUGGAGAAAUUGAAGGGAAUGGAUUAAGAUACUGGGCACACUCAGGCAACUCUUAUUCUGGGCAGUUUAAAAGCGGUGAGCUUCAUGGCUGUGGUGUGAUGCAGUACUCCAGUGGAGAGAAGUAUGAAGGAGAGUACUGCUAUGGACUACGAGAAGGGCAUGGGCUCCUCUUGGAUAAGGAGGGACACACAUACGAGGGCUCUUUUCACGAAAAUAAGAAGCAUGGAGAAGGCAUAAUGGAUUUCAGGAAUGGUGAUCAGUAUGAAGGGGACUGGCUGCUGGACCAAAGACAAGGCCACGGUAUUAUGCGCUUCGAGGACGGGUCCGUUUAUGAGGGUCAAUGGAGGAAUAAUCUCUUUAAUGGUCAGGGGACAAUGAUACACUGCUCCGGAGUUGCCUGGGAAGGCUUAUGGAUAAAUGGGAGGCCGUCUGGUGGUGCGUCUAAAAUAGUGAUUGAAGGAGGGGACGUGCUGGAGGUCUUCCAGGGGUCCCCGUUCGCCGUGGACGUGCACCUGCAGACCGACGCCGGAGACGUGGCGACAGGUGAAAAUGGACGGGUUCUACAGAUUUGUGUUGGAGUGAAAUUUACGGGAUAUAGGCCGACAUCAUCUUCCUCAAACCUGUUGAAGCUUAUUGAAGACAUGGAGGAGAAACCUAUCCCAACGCCAUUCGGGUUUGAGUUUAUUAGCUACCCUUUGAUGGAGAGGGGCUUUGAAAGCGGGGACUCCAGAGGCGCGCCCCCCCCCUCCGCGGCUAAAUCCGGAUUUGCGCAGACUGACUCGCCAGCCCCCGAGGGGGAGUGGGAGUCUGGAAGUGGAUCACACGGCCUGGGACUUGGAGGGGGCACCCCGAGCUACCUGGAUGGCAAGACAGGAUGUGGAGACCAGUCUGAAAAUGGGGGAUCCACCUCUAUCAUUGAGUCGUUUUCAGAAACCGGAAACUUGGCUCUGCCGGAGGAAGAGUCUCAUUCAGCCAAUCAAAGAGUCGAAGCGGGUCAAGCAAAAUUCCAGAACCUCAUGUUGGCCCCUCCCCCUCCUGACUAUAAGCCUUACUUGGUGAUGGACGAACUGGAGAAGCAAAAAGCUGCCAAGAAGCCAGUUGGCAAGGGCCCUUCAGAAAAACUGCCAUUGUCCCAGGAGAAAAGCUCCGACAGCAAGUCGAGCGUGGGAUCCCGUGUCGGGACGACGGUGAAGAAGGAGGCCGCAGACAGCAGGAGCGUGAGGCCAGGUGAAUAUGUCAUCAUGGUGAAAGAUGUGACCAACCCCCCCUUCCUGGGCCACACCUUGCCCCCUGCCUUCGCCCUGCUCAGAGUGGUGCCCGCCAGGCUCAAGAGGAGGGGGAGCCGCGCCGAAAUCCCGAGGGUGAAGAGCUAGUGAGGGAGAGCAGUUAGCGCUAGCCCACGGGGAAGCGGCUGGAUCAGACUGGCAGCACAGCCAGCGCUCUGCUCUGCCGCCCAAGCGCUGCUCUGGCUUUGCCCAGACGGAAGGCACCUCUUCACCAGCACUGAUUAAGGAAAAGCAGGAGAUCUGAGACUGGGGAACACAAGCAGACUGGCUCCUGUGCGGCAGACGCAGAUGCUCGGGUGGCAGAGGAGGCCAGCGGUGGAGCUGCGGCUGGCGGAGCACGGAACACGGAACACGGAACACGGAACAUGAGGAGACAUCCUUUCUUUACCACAGCCCACCCCACAGGGAGCACGCGAGCACUCAAAUCCUCCACAGCUAUCAGUGGUAACCACCAUGCGCUGGUGGAGGAUGUGGACUCAUAGCCUGGUGCAGGUAAAGUAUUCCAGUAUUUCAGAUGGCCUUUGA
RNA transcript from Anguilla rostrata (American eel), 2291 nucleotides. It is a transcript of the gene named MORN repeat-containing protein 1-like, with no coding region annotated. The record is from RefSeq and is a predicted model, not a curated record. The transcript has 18 exons. Lineage: Eukaryota; Metazoa; Chordata; Actinopteri; Anguilliformes; Anguillidae.